Sinocyclocheilus grahami is the source of this 195-nucleotide long non-coding RNA. RefSeq lists it as uncharacterized. The transcript is spliced from 3 exons. The record is from RefSeq and is a predicted model, not a curated record. NCBI's taxonomy places the organism in Eukaryota, Metazoa, Chordata, Actinopteri, Cypriniformes, Cyprinidae.
UUUUCUUCCCAGGAAACUGCCCCAGGCAGUCAUAGAUAUCCUUAACAUAGCCCUUAUUGUUAUUACCAAAUAAAAUCAUCUCGGUCUUAUCUUCAUUCAAUUGAAGAAAAUGAUUUGCCAACCAGCACUUAACCUCUGUCAGACAUUGAUGCAGAGACUGCAAAGCACAUUUAUGGUCCUAAAAAGAUGUAACCC